CAGCCGUAAACAAUGUGCGUUAGGUGUGUCGGUAACCACGCGUUACUGAUGCGCCGAAGAGAAAUCGUGAAACGCACCACCUGGGAAGUACGGUCGCAAGGCUGAAACUUAAAGGAAUUGGCGGGGGGAGGCACCACAACAGGUGGAGCCUGCGGUUUAAUUGGAUUCAACGCCGGACAUCUCACCGGAUAAGACAGCUGAAUGAUUGUCAAUCUGAAGGUUUACAUGACUAGCUGAGAGGAGGUGCAUGGCGUCAGUGACU
This 262-nucleotide ribosomal RNA is filed under the name uncultured archaeon. Its description in RNAcentral is "partial 16S ribosomal RNA". It matches the Rfam family "Archaeal small subunit ribosomal RNA", at positions 748 to 1008 of the family's 1478-position model. The record is from RNAcentral.